Long non-coding RNA from Danio aesculapii, 662 nucleotides. RefSeq lists it as uncharacterized. The transcript has 2 exons. Lineage: Eukaryota; Metazoa; Chordata; Actinopteri; Cypriniformes; Danionidae. The record is from RefSeq and is a predicted model, not a curated record.
GGCGGUGCUUAUAACUUAAGUGUCCAGUCUGUGUAUAACUCCACACUCACCCUCGGUCCAGCACAGAACUUCACUGGAAGAACACAACACAGCAUUAACAAUGAAUAAAUUAUGGAUUUUGUGUUUCAUGGUGCUGAUCAUGAGCAAACCAUUUUCAACUAAGGAGAGUGAUCAGAGGUCAAGUGGGAACACUGUCCCAUCAACCAGCACAUCCACUAACUCCAGUGCUGUAGGAUUGGGUCCUGUGCCCAAAACACUGUACCUUCUGUUCCCUGCUGCCACCCUGGGCUUCAUCCACAGCAGAUCCUGAACAUUCACCGAAGAUGAGCAACAACGAGGGAGUGGUAAAAUGGACAGUCAUUGACACACAGAGCACAAAUCUGCAAGACAGAACACAGCACAGCUCAAAGGAUUUUUAACUAAUGAAAAUAAGUAUUCCUCCAAGAAGGAUUAUCUGGUUAUGCUCAAUAGCAACUUCUCUUGGAAGAGCCCCUCUCUCCUUUAUGCUUUAUAUGAAUGAAGUUUAGCAGGGUAAAGAACUCCCCUACUUAAAUCAGUAUAAUCACUGCAUUUGAAAGAUUCUGUUUCUCGAAUGGCAUUAUGUGUAUUAAUGUAAUUGAUUGGCCAGUGUGUCUGUAUGCAUAAUAAAACUGCUAAAUGCC